Molecule: unclassified non-coding RNA, 320 nt
Filed under: plant metagenome
Description: partial contains 5.8S ribosomal RNA, internal transcribed spacer 2, and large subunit ribosomal RNA
Rfam family: 5.8S ribosomal RNA (bases 1-105)
Source: RNAcentral
GAAAUGCGAUAAGUAAUGUGAAUCGCAGAAUUCAGUGAAUCAUCGAAUCUUUGAACGCACAUUGCGCCCGCCAGUAUUCUGGCGGGCAUGCCUGUUCGAGCGUCAUUACAACCCUCAGGCCCCCGGGCCUGGCGUUGGGGAUCGGCGGAAGCCCCCUGCGGGCACAACGCCGUCCCCCAAAUACAGUGGCGGUCCCGCCGCAGCUUCCAUUGCGUAGUAGCUAACACCUCGCAACUGGAGAGCGGCGCGGCCACGCCGUAAAACACCCAACUUCUGAAUGUUGACCUCGAAUCAGGUAGGAAUACCCGCUGAACUUAAGC